CUCUUAUGACAAGUGUCAGUUUCUCGCAGAGCAGCCAACCAGCUAAUGGUUGUGGGGGGCGGCUAUUUAUAGCAUGUGAGCAUCCCGACAUGAUUUGACAUUAAUACCCUUAAAUAAUAUGACGGUUGGUGUGGAUAAGAUCGGUGAUGUGGCGCGAAUUGCGGCAACGGUCGGAACUCUCAACUGUAAGAGUCCUCAUGUUUCUCAUAUUCCUCAAUUUGAGGCUUUUGGUAGGAUUAAGUUUGGGUUGAGCAUCAUGAGGAAAUUCAUUCCGAAGUCUCACCUCGACCCCCUUUAACAGUACGGUGUUCCUAUGACUCAAGAGUGAAGAAAAUAAAACAGAAAUAAUAAAUCUUCAUGCUUUAAAGUCUUCAGAUUGAUUUUCUUUAGGACACACUGAAUUCCUCAUCUUCAAUAUCUUCAUGAGGAAUAUCAAUUUCAUCGUCAUUUCUUUGCGAUUCAUUUCUUCAGCUUCAGACCAAUUUCUUCAGCCGAAGAUAUACAUUUUUAGGGGUCGAUAUUCAUCGAAUAUUUCAAACUCCUCAGCAACUUAUAGAUCCUGCGUACACUUGAACACACAUUAGAUACUUAACCUAUAAGUCUUCAAACCACCAAAAUCACUAAGGGCACUAGAUGCACUUACAAGAGCUCGCAGGAGCAACAGAAGAAGUACCAACACAGCCGUCAGGAGUCACGGGAAGCAAGGGACUGCAACGUUGCGUGCUGGUGUAGACCAUUUUUUUAGGAAUCAGCCCUCAGCAGCAGCAGUUUACCACAGGAUCGAAACAACAAGAGACCACGGGAACAACGUGAUCCAG
This 818-nucleotide long non-coding RNA is filed under the name Hordeum vulgare. RNAcentral's name for it is "long non-coding RNA (HVUL_LNC020105)". Lineage: Eukaryota; Viridiplantae; Streptophyta; Magnoliopsida; Poales; Poaceae. The record is from RNAcentral.